UACGAAGGGGGCUAGCGUUGUUCGGAAUUACUGGGCGUAAAGCGUGCGCAGGCGGCUUCUCAAGUCAGGGGUGAAAGCCCAGAGCUCAACUCUGGAACUGCCUUUGAGACUGAGAGGCUUGAGUACGGGAGAGGUGAGUGGAAUUCCCAGUGUAGAGGUGAAAUUCGUAGAUAUUGGGAAGAACACCGGUGGCGAAGGCGGCUCACUGGCCCGAAACUGACGCUCAUGCACGACAGCGUGGGGAUCAAACAGG
RNAcentral lists this ribosomal RNA (253 nucleotides) under uncultured bacterium. RNAcentral describes it as "partial 16S ribosomal RNA". It matches the Rfam family "Bacterial small subunit ribosomal RNA", at positions 524 to 776 of the family's 1533-position model. The record is from RNAcentral.